Molecule: transfer RNA, 60 nt
Filed under: Bacillus sp. UMB0728
Lineage: Bacteria; Bacillati; Bacillota; Bacilli; Caryophanales; Bacillaceae
Description: tRNA-Val
Rfam family: tRNA
About the family: Transfer RNA (tRNA) molecules are approximately 80 nucleotides in length.
Source: RNAcentral
GGAGGAUUAGCUCAGCUGGGAGAGCAUCUGCCUUACAAGCAGAGGGUCGAGCAUCUGACU